UCGAACGGCAGCACGGGGGCAACCCUGGUGGCGAGUGGCGAACGGGUGAGUAAUACAUCGGAACGUGCCCAGUAGUGGGGGAUAGCCCGGCGAAAGCCGGAUUAAUACCGCAUACGACCUACGGGUGAAAGCGGGGGAUCGCAAGACCUCGCGCUAUUGGAGCGGCCGAUGGCAGAUUAGCUUGUUGGUGGGGUAAUGGCCCACCAAGGCGACGAUCUGUAGCUGGUCUGAGAGGACGACCAGCCACACUGGGACUGAGACACGGCCCAGACUCCUACGGGAGGCAGCAGUGGGGAAUUUUGGACAAUGGGCGCAAGCCUGAUCCAGCCAUGCCGCGUGCGGGAAGAAGGCCUUCGGGUUGUAAACCGCUUUUGUCAGGGAAGAAAAGCUCCGAGCUAAUACCCCGGAGUCAUGACGGUACCUGAAGAAUAAGCACCGGCUAACUACGUGCCAGCAGCCGCGGUAAUACGUAGGGUGCGAGCGUUA
RNAcentral lists this ribosomal RNA (486 nucleotides) under uncultured bacterium. RNAcentral's name for it is "bacterial SSU rRNA". It matches the Rfam family "Bacterial small subunit ribosomal RNA", at positions 62 to 543 of the family's 1533-position model. The record is from RNAcentral.